This 71-nucleotide transfer RNA is filed under the name Stegodyphus mimosarum. It matches the Rfam family "tRNA". From Rfam's summary of the family: Transfer RNA (tRNA) molecules are approximately 80 nucleotides in length. Their secondary structure includes four short double-helical elements and three loops (D, anti-codon, and T loops). Further hydrogen bonds mediate the characteristic L-shaped molecular structure. tRNAs have two regions of fundamental functional importance: the anti-codon, which is responsible for specific mRNA codon recognition, and the 3' end, to which the tRNAs corresponding amino acid is attached (by aminoacyl-tRNA synthetases). tRNAs cope with the degeneracy of the genetic code in two manners: having more than one tRNA (with a specific anti-codon) for a particular amino acid; and 'wobble' base-pairing, i.e. permitting non-standard base-pairing at the 3rd anti-codon position. The record is from Rfam by way of RNAcentral. Lineage: Eukaryota; Metazoa; Arthropoda; Arachnida; Araneae; Eresidae.
GCCUUCGUGGUGCAACGGUAGCACACUCGGCGCGUAUUCGAUAGGUCUAGGUUCGAGUCCCGGCGAAGGCA